CCUGCUCAAUGAAAAUUUAAAUAGCCGCAAUAUAUUUGUGCUAAGGUAGCAUAAUCAUUGGUUUUUUAAUUAAAAACUAGAAUGAAAGGUUUAACGUUUUAAUUUCUUUAUUAAUAAUAAAUUUUAAAUUUAUAUUAAAUAUAAAAAUAUAUUUAUUUUAUAAAUAGACGAUAAGACCCUAUUGAAUUUUACUUAUUUGUUUAGCUGGGGCAGCUAUUUAAAAACAAAUUUAAAUUUAUAUAAUAAAAAAAAUAUUUCCAAUAUAAUUGAUUAUAUAAUCAAAUUACCAUAGGGAUAACAGCAUAAUAUUAUUUAAAAGUUCAUAUUUAAAAUAAUGUUUAUGACCUCGAUGUUGAAUUAUUAUUCUAAUAAACGCAAUAGUUAUAAAAGUUAGUCUGUUCGACUUUUAAUAUAUUACA
Molecule: ribosomal RNA, 419 nt
Filed under: Theridiinae sp. MAA-2007
Lineage: Eukaryota; Metazoa; Arthropoda; Arachnida; Araneae; Theridiidae
Description: partial 16S ribosomal RNA
Source: RNAcentral